UACGAAGGGGGGCUAGCGUUGUUCGGAAUUACUGGGCGUAAAGCGCACGUAGGCGGAAUGUUAAGUCAGGGGUGAAAUCCCGGGGCUCAACCCCGGAACUGCCUUUGAUACUGGCAUUCUCGAGUCCGGAAGAGGUGAGUGGAAUUCCGAGUGUAGAGGUGAAAUUCGUAGAUAUUCGGAGGAACACCAGUGGCGAAGGCGGCUCACUGGUCCGGUACUGACGCUGAGGUGCGAAAGCGUGGGGAGCAAACAGG
RNAcentral lists this ribosomal RNA (254 nucleotides) under uncultured bacterium. RNAcentral describes it as "partial 16S ribosomal RNA". It matches the Rfam family "Bacterial small subunit ribosomal RNA", at positions 524 to 776 of the family's 1533-position model. The record is from RNAcentral.